CUUUCGAGUUUGGGGACGGGGUGCGGGAAGAGGGAGAACCGUCGGCAGAGUUCCUGUGUGUUGCGCCUAUCUUGGCAGAUUGCUCCGCCAGCUCCCGAAUCGUGGUAAAGUCUCUUCCGCCCCAGCACCGCUCUGUCUGUGUAGGGAUGUGUGUCUAGGGUUUGGUCGUUUUUUUUGUUUGCAUAUGUGAUUCGAUAGAGGGGUUGUUAGAUCGCAGGUUGCUUUGUUUGAUUACUGUUUACGUGUUGCAGAUACCACCCUAGAUAAGAUAUACACACCGUUUUAGAUUGCCGGAUCACGGGUUGCUUUGUGUUUUUCCAGAAAGUAUCAUUGAUGUAUACGCGCCGUUUUUAUUGUUUUUUUUCCUGUGAGUGUUCUGCUCUUAACCUACGUGUUUUCCUUGUGGAGUUCAUGGCGCGCCCUCUCAAUGAGUGCAACAAGUUCAAUGUACUGUGCAAACGCCCUGAGGCUUGCCAUUUAGCCUUC
This 486-nucleotide long non-coding RNA is filed under the name Brachypodium distachyon (stiff brome). RNAcentral's name for it is "long non-coding RNA (BDIS_LNC003307)". Lineage: Eukaryota; Viridiplantae; Streptophyta; Magnoliopsida; Poales; Poaceae. The record is from RNAcentral.